AAUUUGAACGGCUUCACCCAAAAUUAUAUCUUAAUCCAACAUCGAGGUCGCAAUCUUUUUUAUCGAUAUGAACUCUCCAAAAAAAUUACGCUGUUAUCCCUAAAGUAACUUAAAUUUUUAAUCAUUAUUAAUGGAUCAAUUAUUCAUAAAUUAAUGGUUUUUAAAAUUAAAAGUUUUUUAAAUUUUAAUAUCACCCCAAUAAAAUAUUUUAAUUUAUUAUAAUAAAAAUAAUCUUUAUAAUUAAAAUAAACAAAAUAUAAAGAUUUAUAGGGUCUUCUCGUCUUUUAAAUUUAUUUUAGCUUUUUGACUAAAAAAUAAAAUUCUAUAAAAAAUUUAAAUGAAACAGUCAAUAUUUCGUCCAACCAUUCAUUCCAGCCUUCAAUUAAAAGACUAAUGAUUAUGCUACCUUUGCACAGUUAGAAUACUGCGGCCAUUUAAAAUUUUCAGUGGGCAGGUUAGACUUUAAAUUAAAUUCAAAAAGAC
Molecule: ribosomal RNA, 483 nt
Filed under: Drosophila paucula
Lineage: Eukaryota; Metazoa; Arthropoda; Insecta; Diptera; Drosophilidae
Description: partial 16S ribosomal RNA
Source: RNAcentral